ACCAGAGAUUCAGUGAAAUUGUAGUGGAGGUGAAAAUUCCUCCUACCCGCGGCAAGACGGAAAGACCCCGUGGACCUUUACUACAACUUAGCACUGCUAACGGGAAUACCAUGCGCAGGAUAGGUGGGAGGCUUUGAAGUAGGGGCUUUGGCUCUUAUGGAGCCAUCCUUGAGAUACCACCCUUGAUGUUUCUGUUAGCUA
This 201-nucleotide ribosomal RNA is filed under the name Helicobacter pylori. RNAcentral's name for it is "partial 23S ribosomal RNA". It matches the Rfam family "Bacterial large subunit ribosomal RNA", at positions 2024 to 2224 of the family's 2925-position model. Lineage: Bacteria; Pseudomonadati; Campylobacterota; Epsilonproteobacteria; Campylobacterales; Helicobacteraceae. The record is from RNAcentral.